Molecule: ribosomal RNA, 831 nt
Filed under: uncultured Bacteroidota bacterium
Lineage: Bacteria; Pseudomonadati; Bacteroidota
Description: bacterial SSU rRNA
Rfam family: Bacterial small subunit ribosomal RNA
Source: RNAcentral
GAUGAACGCUAGCGGCAGGCCUAACACAUGCAAGUCGAGGGGUAACAGGAAGUGCUUGCACUUCGCUGACGACCGGCGCACGGGUGAGUACCGCGUAUACAAUCUGCCUCAUACUAGGGGAUAGCCCGAAGAAAUUUGGAUUAAUACCCUAUAGUAUCUUUUUAAGGCAUCUUAUUAAGAUUAAAGGUUACGGUAUGAGAUGAGUAUGCGUUCUAUUAGCUAGUAGGUGUGGUAACGGCACACCUAGGCUACGAUAGAUAGGGGCCCUGAGAGGGGGAUCCCCCACACUGGUACUGAGACACGGACCAGACUCCUACGGGAGGCAGCAGUGAGGAAUAUUGGACAAUGGGCGAAAGCCUGAUCCAGCCAUGCCGCGUGCAGGAUGACUGCCCUAUGGGUUGUAAACUGCUUUUAUAUAGGAAGAAAAACUUUCUCGUGAGAAAGCUUGACGGUACUAUAAGAAUAAGGAUCGGCUAACUCCGUGCCAGCAGCCGCGGUAAUACGGAGGAUCCAAGCGUUAUCCGGAAUCAUUGGGUUUAAAGGGUCCGUAGGUGGACAAAUAAGUCAGAGGUGAAAUCCUGCAGCUCAACUGUAGAACUGCCUUUGAUACUGUUUGUCUUGAGUUAUUAUGAAGUGGUUAGAAUGUGUAGUGUAGCGGUGAAAUGCAUAGAUAUUACACAGAAUACCGAUUGCGAAGGCAGAUCACUAAUAAUUAACUGACACUGAGGGACGAAAGCGUGGGUAGCGAACAGGAUUAGAUACCCUGGUAGUCCACGCCGUAAACGAUGGUCACUAGCUGUUUGGACUUCGGUCUGAGUGGCUAAGCGAAAG